RNAcentral lists this ribosomal RNA (253 nucleotides) under uncultured bacterium. RNAcentral's name for it is "partial 16S ribosomal RNA". It matches the Rfam family "Bacterial small subunit ribosomal RNA", at positions 524 to 776 of the family's 1533-position model. The record is from RNAcentral.
UACGUAGGGGGCGAGCGUUGUCCGGAAUCAUUGGGCGUAAAGCGCGUGUAGGCGGUCCGGUAGGUCCGCUGUGAAAGUCGAGGGCUCAACCCUCGAAUGCCGGUGGAUACUGUCGGGCUAGAGUGCGGAAGAGGCGAGUGGAAUUCCUGGUGUAGCGGUGAAAUGCGUAGAUAUCGAGAGGAACACCAGUGGCGAAGGCGAGUCCCUGGACAUCUCCUGACACUGAGGCACGAAAGCUAGGGGAGCAAACAGG